This 468-nucleotide ribosomal RNA is filed under the name uncultured bacterium. Its description in RNAcentral is "partial 16S ribosomal RNA". It matches the Rfam family "Bacterial small subunit ribosomal RNA", at positions 28 to 507 of the family's 1533-position model. The record is from RNAcentral.
GACGAACGCUGGCGGCGUGCUUAACACAUGCAAGUCGAACGGACAGGCCCUGCUUUUGCGGGUUGCUCGAGUGGCGAACGCGUGAGUAACACGUGUGUAACCUGCCCUUGACUUUGUGAUAUCUUCAGGAAACUGCGGCUAAUACCCGAUAUGAGCUCCUGCUGCAUGUUGGGCGUUGGUAAGUUUCGGCGGUUGUGGCUGGACUCGCGGCUUAUCAGCUUGUUGGUGGGGUAGUGGCUUACCAAGGCUUUGACGGGUAGCCGGCCUGAGAGGGGUAACGGCGACAAGGGGACUGAGAUACGGCGCAGAAUCCUACGGGAGGCAGCAGUGGGGAAUAUUGCACAGUGGGCGGAAGCCUGAGGCAGCAACGCCGCGUGCGGGAUGACGGCCUUCGGGUUGUGAACCGCUUUGGCCUGUGACGAAGCGGGAGUGACGGUAAUGGGUAAAGAAGCACCGGCUAACUACGUG